Molecule: ribosomal RNA, 2788 nt
Filed under: Salmonella enterica subsp. enterica serovar Infantis str. CVM N29304
Lineage: Bacteria; Pseudomonadati; Pseudomonadota; Gammaproteobacteria; Enterobacterales; Enterobacteriaceae
Description: bacterial LSU rRNA
Rfam family: Bacterial large subunit ribosomal RNA
Source: RNAcentral
GGGUUGUGAGGUUAAGCGACUAAGCGUACACGGUGGAUGCCCUGGCAGUCAGAGGCGAUGAAGGGCGUGCUAAUCUGCGAUAAGCGCCGGUAAGGUGAUAUGAACCGUUAUAACCGGCGAUACCCGAAUGGGGAAACCCAGUGUGACUCGUCACACUAUCAUUAACUGAAUCCAUAGGUUAAUGAGGCGAACCGGGGGAACUGAAACAUCUAAGUACCCCGAGGAAAAGAAAUCAACCGAGAUUCCCCCAGUAGCGGCGAGCGAACGGGGAGGAGCCCAGAGCCUGAAUCAGCAUGUGUGUUAGUGGAAGCGUCUGGAAAGGCGCGCGAUACAGGGUGACAGCCCCGUACACAAAAGCGCAUGUGCUGUGAGCUCGAUGAGUAGGGCGGGACACGUGGUAUCCUGUCUGAAUAUGGGGGGACCAUCCUCCAAGGCUAAAUACUCCUGACUGACCGAUAGUGAACCAGUACCGUGAGGGAAAGGCGAAAAGAACCCCGGCGAGGGGAGUGAAAAAGAACCUGAAACCGUGUACGUACAAGCAGUGGGAGCNNGUGACUGCGUACCUUUUGUAUAAUGGGUCAGCGACUUAUAUUCUGUAGCAAGGUUAACCGAAUAGGGGAGCCGGAGGGAAACCGAGUCUUAAUUGGGCGUUAAGUUGCAGGGUAUAGACCCGAAACCCGGUGAUCUAGCCAUGGGCAGGUUGAAGGUUGGGUAACACUAACUGGAGGACCGAACCGACUAAUGUUGAAAAAUUAGCGGAUGACCUGUGGCUGGGGGUGAAAGGCCAAUCAAACCGGGAGAUAGCUGGUUCUCCCCGAAAGCUAUUUAGGUAGCGCCUCGUGAAUUCAUCUCCGGGGGUAGAGCACUGUUUCGGCUAGGGGGCCAUCCCGGCUUACCAACCCGAUGCAAACUGCGAAUACCGGAGAAUGUUAUCACGGGAGACACACGGCGGGUGCUAACGUCCGUCGUGAAGAGGGAAACAACCCAGACCGCCAGCUAAGGUCCCAAAGUCAUGGUUAAGUGGGAAACGAUGUGGGAAGGCCCAGACAGCCAGGAUGUUGGCUUAGAAGCAGCCAUCAUUUAAAGAAAGCGUAAUAGCUCACUGGUCGAGUCGGCCUGCGCGGAAGAUGUAACGGGGCUAAACCAUGCACCGAAGCUGCGGCAGCGANNGUUGGGUAGGGGAGCGUUCUGUAAGCCUGCGAAGGUGGCCUGUGAGGGUUGCUGGAGGUAUCAGAAGUGCGAAUGCUGACAUAAGUAACGAUAAAGCGGGUGAAAAGCCCGCUCGCCGGAAGACCAAGGGUUCCUGUCCAACGUUAAUCGGGGCAGGGUGAGUCGACCCCUAAGGCGAGGCCGAAAGGCGUAGUCGAUGGGAAACGGGUUAAUAUUCCCGUACUUGGUGUUACUGCGAAGGGGGGACGGAGAAGGCUAUGUUGGCCGGGCGACGGUUGUCCCGGUUUAAGCGUGUAGGUGUGUGUUCCAGGUAAAUCCGGUUCACUUUAACACUGAGGCGUGAUGACGAGGCACUACGGUGCUGAAGCAACAAAUGCCCUGCUUCCAGGAAAAGCCUCUAAGCAUCAGGUAACAUCAAAUCGUACCCCAAACCGACACAGGUGGUCAGGUAGAGAAUACCAAGGCGCUUGAGAGAACUCGGGUGAAGGAACUAGGCAAAAUGGUGCCGUAACUUCGGGAGAAGGCACGCUGACAUGUAGGUGAAGUGAUUUACUCAUGGAGCUGAAGUCAGUCGAAGAUACCAGCUGGCUGCAACUGUUUAUUAAAAACACAGCACUGUGCAAACACGAAAGUGGACGUAUACGGUGUGACGCCUGCCCGGUGCCGGAAGGUUAAUUGAUGGGGUCAGCGCAAGCGAAGCUCCUGAUCGAAGCCCCGGUAAACGGCGGCCGUAACUAUAACGGUCCUAAGGUAGCGAAAUUCCUUGUCGGGUAAGUUCCGACCUGCACGAAUGGCGUAAUGAUGGCCAGGCUGUCUCCACCCGAGACUCAGUGAAAUUGAACUCGCUGUGAAGAUGCAGUGUACCCGCGGCAAGACGGAAAGACCCCGUGAACCUUUACUAUAGCUUGACACUGAACAUUGAGCCUUGAUGUGUAGGAUAGGUGGGAGGCUUUGAAGCGUGGACGCCAGUCUGCGUGGAGCCGACCUUGAAAUACCACCCUUUAAUGUUUGAUGUUCUAACGUGGACCCGUAAUCCGGGUUGCGGACAGUGUCUGGUGGGUAGUUUGACUGGGGCGGUCUCCUCCUAAAGAGUAACGGAGGAGCACGAAGGUUGGCUAAUCCUGGUCGGACAUCAGGAGGUUAGUGCAAUGGCAUAAGCCAGCUUGACUGCGAGCGUGACGGCGCGAGCAGGUGCGAAAGCAGGUCAUAGUGAUCCGGUGGUUCUGAAUGGAAGGGCCAUCGCUCAACGGAUAAAAGGUACUCCGGGGAUAACAGGCUGAUACCGCCCAAGAGUUCAUAUCGACGGCGGUGUUUGGCACCUCGAUGUCGGCUCAUCACAUCCUGGGGCUGAAGUAGGUCCCAAGGGUAUGGCUGUUCGCCAUUUAAAGUGGUACGCGAGCUGGGUUUAGAACGUCGUGAGACAGUUCGGUCCCUAUCUGCCGUGGGCGCUGGAGAACUGAGGGGGGCUGCUCCUAGUACGAGAGGACCGGAGUGGACGCAUCACUGGUGUUCGGGUUGUCAUGCCAAUGGCACUGCCCGGUAGCUAAAUGCGGAAGAGAUAAGUGCUGAAAGCAUCUAAGCACGAAACUUGCCCCGAGAUGAGUUCUCCCUGAGACUU